GAGUCUCGCGAACAGUUCGACGUGGGUGUCGGCCACCCGGCGUGGCACACCGAGCUUCGCGGCGAUGAUCUCC
RNAcentral lists this transfer RNA (73 nucleotides) under Streptomyces mutabilis. Lineage: Bacteria; Bacillati; Actinomycetota; Actinomycetes; Kitasatosporales; Streptomycetaceae. The record is from RNAcentral.